GUGUAAAGGCACAAGGGAGCUUGACUGCGAGACCUACAAGUCGAGCAGGGACGAAAGUCGGGCUUAGUGACCCGGUGGUUCCGCAUGGAAGGGCCAUCGCUCAACGGAUAAAAGCUACCCCGGGGAUAACAGGCUUAUCUCCCCCAAGAGUCCACAUCGACGGGGAGGUUUGGCACCUCGAUGUCGGCUCAUCACAUCCUGGGGCUGAAGUAGGUCCCAAGGGUUGGGCUGUUCGCCCAUUAAAGCGGUACGCGAGCUGGGUUCAGAACGUCGUGAGACAGUUCGGUCCCUAUCCGUCGCGGGCGCAGGAAAUUUGAGAGGAGCUGUCCUUAGUACGAGAGGACCGGGAUGGACGUACCGCUGGUGCACCAGUUGUUUCGCCAGAAGCAUGGCUGGGUAGCUACGUACGGACGGGAUAAGCGCUGAAAGCAUCUAAGCGUGAAGCCCCCCUCAAGAUGAGAUUUCCCAAUUAGUAAGACCCCUUGAAGACGACGAGGUAGAUAGGUUGGAGGUGGAAGUGCAGUAAUGCAUGGAGCUGACCAAUACUAAUCGGUCGAGGGCUUAUCCUA
This 569-nucleotide ribosomal RNA is filed under the name Salmonella enterica subsp. enterica serovar Typhimurium. Its description in RNAcentral is "partial 23S ribosomal RNA". It matches the Rfam family "Bacterial large subunit ribosomal RNA", at positions 2349 to 2925 of the family's 2925-position model. Lineage: Bacteria; Pseudomonadati; Pseudomonadota; Gammaproteobacteria; Enterobacterales; Enterobacteriaceae. The record is from RNAcentral.